RNAcentral lists this ribosomal RNA (253 nucleotides) under uncultured bacterium. Its description in RNAcentral is "partial 16S ribosomal RNA". It matches the Rfam family "Bacterial small subunit ribosomal RNA", at positions 524 to 776 of the family's 1533-position model. The record is from RNAcentral.
UACGUAGGGUGCGAGCGUUGUCCGGAAUUAUUGGGCGUAAAGGGCUCGUAGGCGGUCUGUCGCGUCGGGAGUGAAAACUCAGGGCUUAACCCUGAGCCUGCUUCCGAUACGGGCAGACUAGAGGUAUGCAGGGGAGAACGGAAUUCCUGGUGUAGCGGUGGAAUGCGCAGAUAUCAGGAGGAACACCGAUUGCGAAGGCAGCUCGCUGGGACGUUACUGACGCUGAGACGCGAAAGCGUGGGGAGCAAACAGG